GUUUAUAGUGUUGAGCAACACACAGUUUUGGAGGAGAAACUGGUACACUUACGGCCUUCCACCAGUCAGUGUAUGAGUGUGAUGGAACAUGGAGACAAGACCUCUAAAACCCAAAGCUGGAAAGUAUGGGAGGCUUUCCAGGAGAGAUGAUGAGUAGGUGGCUUUUAAAAUAAAAAAUAGACAUUAUCCAGGUGAAUAAAGUCCAUGUCCAGGGGACAGCAUGUACAAGGGCACAGAGGUAGGAAAAACAUGGUCCAGAGGACUGAAAGAGAAACAGCAUGGCAGGAGGGGAAAACAUAUGCAUAAAGCCAGUGAUAAAGUGAUAAAGUGAUAAAGCCAGUCUGCUAGGUAGGGCCCACUAAGAGCCCUGCAAAGAAUUUGGAUUUCAACUCCAAUGUGAUGAGGUGACAUCAAACAUUUCAAGUAAGAGGACAUAAACAUGAUAAUUUUUGUAUUUUAGAAAGAUGUCUCCAAAAGGUCCAUGGAGAAUGGAUUGAUGUAGGAAGACCAAUCCAGAAGCUAUUAAGGAAGCUAGUAGAUAAAUAAUAAGGAGUUGGAUUAUAGCCUUGAUGAUAGAGAAGAGGGUAUAGAAAGAAAAUAUGGAGAGAUAAAAUUUAGAAACAGAGCUGAUAAUAUCUGGUCACAAAUGAUAUUGGGAAGCUACCUUUAAAGGAGAGAGAGAAAUCCAGGAGCAUCCCCAGUUAACCAAUUUGUGACUUUGAAGAAUGACCAGAUCUGGGAGCAGAGACAGACUCAGCUGUAGGCAUGUUGUUUUUGAAUGACCUUUGUAUGUACAAGUCUAUGCUGUAGGGUACAUACUAGAGCAGGAUGUACAUAUCUGUUAUCAGCAUAUUAGUUACAUACAUAUUAGUUAAAAACUGGGCGAGCAGAUGAGAUUCAUUUAGGUUUUAUUCCUAAAACACAUAAUCAAUGAUCUAAAAGUUGAGUUGAAAGAGUUAUAUCGUGGAAGCCAAAGGAAAAAAGAAUUUUAAGAAAGAAGUGGUCCACAGUAUUAAAUACAGCAAAGGUGUUCUAUAAGAUAAAGCCCCAAACUAUCGUAUAUGGCAACUCUGUGAACUUUCCACAACAGUUUCAUUCAAAUGUUAGAGAAAUCAGAGUGUAGAGAGCUGAGAAGUGAAAGAAAGGCCAGACAUAGCGAAAAUGUAAGUACAACUGAAUCAUCUAGCAAGGACUAGGUUAUGCUGCAGCAGCGAGCAAUUCUCAAAUCUCAGCGGCUUAACACAACAGAGGUUUAUUUAUUUAUUGUGCUAUGUGUCCAAUGCAGGUCAUCAGGGGCCUCUGUUCAACACAGGAGGCUCUCCCAACACAGGCAUUUAUAAUUGUUGCCCCAAGAAAAAGAGAACAGCUGUGUCCCAUAAUGGCAACUAAGUGCUUUCUCCUGGAAGCAAUACCUGACACUUCAUUCUUAUUUUACGGGCCAAGGCAAAUCAACAUGGCCACACAAGGCAGAGAAGUACAACGCUACUACACAUGCAGAGAGAGAACUAGGAUAUCUGUGCAGAGUCUUCGUGAGGGGAUAUGGGCACCAGUAGCUACAAAGGGCCGUUAAGUUAGAGGAGAGAUUUUUGUCUGGUUAAGAUGGGACAGACAAUGGCACUGGUGAAGUGUGUGUCCACAGCUCACACUCUGUGCUCUCGUGUGCAACCCACCCAGUAAACCCCAUUCAUGUCUAAUAUCUCUGCAGGAAUAUCCUUCCUAUGUUGCUGUGUUGGGCACAUCUUCAAAACGCUGCUCAAGAAUCACCUCAUUCAAGAACCUGUCCAUUGAUAAGCUUGAUACUUACUUAACAUUGAUAAACUUGGUUACUCGUGUUCAAGUUCAUUUAGAUUCGAAUGAAACAGCCACACUGCUGCCUUUGAAGCCCAGAUUAACUCAGUUUGCUGUGAGGCCAUGAUGAAGUUUAUCCGAUAUCAAGGAUUUGGCAAUGGAGGCAUUAAAAGGAGCGAAGCCUGCCGCCACGUCCUGUUCGCUGCCUGCUGCACACGGUGGGGUGUCAUUCCAGGACCUUGCUUCAGACAGGCUUCGGCUCAGAGGAGAUAAUGACACUCGGGGAAGAGGAUUCCCAGCUUUGCAGAGACAAGGGCAGCAAUGCUGGAGAACCUCAGGCUCCCUCUAUGCCUGGAAUAGCCGUGGGGGCCGGAAAUGAUUCCCAGGGAUCCUGGACUCUCAGAAGACACCUGUCAGUGUGUCCCAGAAAAUAUACAGCCACAGAGACAAAAGGAUGAAAAUUUUAAAGACGGAGAUAUUGACAAAGUGAGACAAGGGUGGAAACGAAAGUAUUGCAGAUUUCCAAAGAAGACUUAAAACUGGGAAAUACCUGUCAGCCACCUAUGUUAAAUACGUGUGGUCCAUAAAGGCUUAUCAGGAAAGGGGUUCUAUCCGCCAAGUUGAGAUGCAUACCAGAAUGUCCUCAAAGUUUCUCAAAUAAACUGGGCAAAAGUUUCAAGGAGACAUGCAAAAGGAAAAUUUGAAUACAAUAAAUGUAAAUACCAAGUGUAAAGGAACAUUUCCCAAUAGUUAAAGGAGUCCGAAAAUGGGAACGGGCUGCCCUAAACCCAGAAGUUGGUCCUCUCGUGGGACUCUAGACAGCUCUCUGAUGGAGACAAGGGAGAACGUGCUCAGGUUCCCUCACCAGCAACACUGUCCAGUAUCCUUGCCUCUGACAAUCUCAGUGUCAGAAAAUGUCACUGGAUAAUAUUGCAGAUGCUCAAGGCGGGAGACUUGAUGCCUAAGCCUCUCCGUCACCCCUUCCUGAUCCCCAAGUUGAAGGCAUGCAUCCGUCUCAUUGCCUGUUAGCUCUGUCAGUCUUCAGCUGUCAUGGAGGAAAGUCAGCUCCACCUAGAGCCUUGGUCUCUCAGGUGACAGUUUCUUUUUGGCCUUCACUUGUUACAUGGAUUAGUAAGAUGUCUGCAAAGGACAAAGCGUGCUAAACCAGCAGCACUAUGUGUAAAGAAAUCUUAGGAAGCUACACAGAAAGUAUGUACAACCUUAAAAUUGGCACAUGGUCCUCCAUGAGCUCACCUCAAUGUCCGAUUCAGCUGCAGAUCACGGACUUAAUACGAAUUCCAGCUGUUCUGCAUGCAAGCCCUGACAAUCAUCUAAGACUUAGACUGCUGGAAAAAUUUAUAAUCUUCUAUCUUCAUAAAUUUCUGAAUCAUACACAGUACCCAUUUUUCUGUUAUUUUAGGGGUUAUACUUAGUUAAGCAGACAUGGUUACUCAACGUAAUAGAUCAGAAUCUUUUCUGAGGUUUUGAAUGAAUUGGGAAACACUCAAGGAAGAAAUUUCAGAAGACUUAAAUCAUUUAAAGAAGCAUACAGAGCAAUGCCAUAAAAGGUCAUCGAACAGAGAGCAACUAGACCACCGGGGACUAAUUCUCUGAGGGUGGAAACCGUAAUGACUCAUUCAGACCAAAAGGGGUUCCAGAGUCUGAUGUCCACAAUACCCACUCAGAGCUCGAAUGCAACCCGGUCCUUGGGGAAGCCAAGGGAGGAAGAAAGAAAAGCUCUGAGACUGAGGGAGUGAGGGAAACUGAGGACUGAACUACUCAUAAACUGACCACCAAACCCAGACACAUCAAAACCUGUGAUCAGACAGCAUCAGAAAACUGCCAUUUGUGAACUGCAUCCUUUUCCAUGGUUUUAACAUUUUCAUUUUCCUUAGUUCUAUGUAGAAAUGUCAUGAUAAUAAAUAUCAUGUGGUAUCACUUA
This is a long non-coding RNA of Aethalodelphis obliquidens (Pacific white-sided dolphin), 3730 nucleotides long. RefSeq lists it as uncharacterized. NCBI's taxonomy places the organism in Eukaryota, Metazoa, Chordata, Mammalia, Artiodactyla, Delphinidae. The record is from RefSeq and is a predicted model, not a curated record. The transcript has 7 exons.